UACGUAGGGGGCAAGCGUUGUCCGGAAUCAUUGGGCGUAAAGAGCGUGUAGGCGGCCCGAUAAGUCCGCUGUGAAAGUCCAGGGCUCAACCCUGGAAUGCCGGUGGAUACUGUCGGGCUCGAAUCCGGAAGAGGUGAGUGGAAUUCCUGGUGUAGCGGUGAAAUGCGCAGAUAUCUGGAGGAACACCGGUGGCGAAGGCGACAUCCUGGACCGGUAUUGACGCUGAGGCGCGAAAGCCAGGGGAGCAAACAGG
Molecule: ribosomal RNA, 253 nt
Filed under: uncultured bacterium
Lineage: Bacteria
Description: partial 16S ribosomal RNA
Rfam family: Bacterial small subunit ribosomal RNA
Source: RNAcentral